RNAcentral lists this long non-coding RNA (6065 nucleotides) under Setaria viridis. RNAcentral describes it as "long non-coding RNA (SVIR_LNC009907)". Lineage: Eukaryota; Viridiplantae; Streptophyta; Magnoliopsida; Poales; Poaceae. The record is from RNAcentral.
UUUGAACUAAAAAUAGAUAGGGCUCAAUAAAGGUCGGGUCAUAAUAUUAUAUGAUUUUGAACUAAAAAUAGAUAGGGCUGAGUUGGAUUGUGAAGGAGGCAUGAGGGUCAUGAUCCAUUACCACCCCUAGUCAUAUGUACAAGAGAUUGGUUUAUGGUUAUCAAGCAGGUAUUAACUACUCCCGCUGUCCCAGAAAAAAUAAGUCGUUUUAGGAUUGUCCUAAGUCAAAUUUUUUUGAGUUUUGCCAAGAUAAUAGAAAAAACUACAAAUAUUUAUGGUAUGAAAUAAGUACCAUUAGAUUUAUCUUGAGAUAUAUUUUUAUAAUGUACGUAUUUAAUGCCGUAAACAUUGAUACUUUUCUCUAUAAAUUUGAUCAAAGUUGGAAAGUUUGACUUAAGACAAAUCGAGAAUGACUUGUAUUUUUGGGACAGAGGGAAUAUGCUCUAUUAAAUACAUAUAGAUCCAUACAUUUCAAUUGCAUACAAUAAACUUCAUUACUAGCGGAACCUACUAACCACAGCCACACGAGCAACUGUCUCCGGAAUCGCCAACACUGCCGCAUGAUCAGCCACUGCAAUCCCAGAGUUAUGAUGCCUCGCCAAAUAUUAAAGCAAGCCAUCAAGCCUCGAUCAUAUAUACACAAUGCUGUACGCAGCCACGCCCACUUCCAUUUAAUGGAACCCGUGAUCCCACCCUGGUUUUCAUGAGGCGACCAUCCCCAUGUGACAUAUACGAUUGCUAGACAAUGCCAUGCGCGGAAUAUGCACACGCCUGGUGCGUUUGAUUCGAUUCUCAGGUCAAGAUUUCUUACAAUUUCACCUACCACAUCGAUGUGAUUUUGGUAAGGGAUAUUUUUCCUUUUAAAUUCACCUGUGGAGGACCCCUUAGUAUCAGCUCGUAACAGCAACCAGUACCAAGUGGCCUGGACCGUCUAUCCACCACAAAUAUACCAGCUUAAUAAGUUAGACCUAUUACUAAUGCUAAUAUUAGUAUCAAGUCUUAUUUUAGCUGGUAUAUUUGUUGGGGAUUUAUAGUGGUUUCUAUAUUUUAGCCCUCUCUUUCUUCUCUCUGUUGCUUCGCUCAAGGUACAUCUUGUAGUAGUUCCUCUCUGUUGCCUCUAACUGGUAAAUCUAAACAGAGACCCAGUGUAAACGAAUUUUGGCACCCGUUAAAAUCCGAUUAGUACACAUUUUUUACUCUACAUACAUAUAUAUAUAUAUACAAAUAUAUAUAUAUUGACCAGCUAUCAGCCUCACUGUAAUCCUGUCCUUGGCUUCUAGACCACGUGGAAAGGAAUUUAUGCGUAGAAAACAUAAUCCUGUUCAUAGCUGCUAGCCUGCUACGCGUGCGCCACGCGCAAAGGAAUAGACCUAAACAAAGUGAAGGAUGCCCAGAGGGUGCUUUGUCAUCGUCCAAUGAAUCUGAACGGGAUGCAUUGCUCAGUUCUUCAGCUACUAGUGCCUAAAAUAUGAUAGUGGCAUUGCAUGAGCAUCAAGCUAGUAGGGUGACUGAGCUGAGUGAGCACAGGUAACUUGGUGCCAACGGUGAACAGUAAUGCCAAGGCCAUGCACACUUCAGGUGUCGCGGUAAUAAACAACAACUAUUUGAUCGAAAAGAAACCAAUCGGGAAUCUUUGAGAUUUUGUAGUAGUGUUCAAUGUCUUCUAGCGGCUUAUCUCCUAAGCUGAACAUUCCAUCAUCUAAGCAAGUAGAAGCUGAGAGGGAUUUACACCUACCGCUACACAGAGUAUCUUCCAGGAUUCUCGAGUAUUCUUUUUAUUGCCAAUGACCAUAUAGCUUGCCUCCUCUAGAAAUUUCUUCAAUAGGCAAGGGUUUUACCUCCAUGAAAUGUCCGUAUCUGAGUACAAAAACCACGACCACUUAGAAAAUGAUGAACAAAGACAGCAGUCGUUGGUGUCCGAAGAAAAAUAAAUUAAAGAUGCAUUUUUAGAAAUUUUAAACUUCUUGUACCUUUGGACUGGCUCGAUGGUCAUAUUUUCUAAGUACAAGUUUAUAUGACGACUUAUGAAUUUGUUCAAAAAUACAUGUUCGAAUUUGUCCACCAUAGCACCCGCUGAUUGCUUGAUGAGAACCGGUUAUGAUAUUCAGAUAACUUCCUGCAGAUAGCAAUAAUUACUGCAACCUGGCAAAUAAAACUUAAAGCCAACCACCAUUUUUAAUCCACAACUUGAGAAUCGAGGGUUCAUCUAAUCACACUCCCUCAGAACCAACCAACACAACCUUGAAUAAAUUGGACUUGGAUCACCAAUUGGGAGAUGAUGAACAGGCCACUUUUGUAAUCGCUCAAGAAAAUUAGAAGUGCAAAGGUUGUAUUGGACUAUAAAAAUCUUGUUACCUAGCUUAGAUAAAAGGAUUAUUUAUAAUAGAAACAACCUUCCUAGUCGGGUGUAAAUGGACCUUAGAGUUUUUUUUAAAGUAAUGCUUGCUCAAAGGUCGCAACAAACACUACUACACAAUCCUAUAGCACUGCUGGCCUCCAACUCCCUGUCACUGCCGGUUUCAGAUCCAUCAUCUGAAAUUCAGCGGUGAUGGGGUGUCGGUGUUUAGACCCAGCAACCUACUGAGGGGGUACCCGAGGUAGUGUUUUAUGCGUGGGGCUCGGCAAGAUCAAGAACUCAAAAGUCAACUCAAACACACAAUUUAGAUAGGUACGUGCUACUUAUGUCGCGUAAUACCCUACAUCUUGUGUAUUGGUUAGAUUGUAUUGAUUGAAAAUGUUUUAAUGGUAAAUCCACAGUAGGUACGGUAUGCGGCCAGACCUCGCCGUACUGGUAGAUCCAACCCCAGCCUGCCAGUGCCGACAACAACACGCAUUAUUAGGGAAGUCUCGAUGGCAAACAAAUUACAGAAGAUUAACUAAACAUACAGUCAUGUAAGCUGUGAAAGAGUACCAUACCGAUCUCAUCUCACGUGCCCAAGGUUUCUAUGAUUCAACCUAAUUGCUGACGUGAGCAAGUUAAUUCCUUUCUAGUUUAUUGCCUUUCGUAACAAAACUAAUGAUGUUUCUUUCUUAUGACUACUGCUGGAUGGCACUUCUGUGGAGACCGUCAUUUGCAUUGGCUCAUACGUGCCGGGCGGAAGUGUACCGGUGCAUUAUGUCCUUUUCGCAAUGACGACAGCAAUCAAACCGGUUCUGUUGUACACCGCAUAAAUGACAUAUGCUAGCCCAGGAGGGUUGGUUCCCUGGCAACUACAACGGGAAGGGUUGGUUCGUCACAGCACAGGACUACCACAGGAAAACAUACUUCCACAAAACCAACAGGUUAGAUCAUUUUCCGAUGAAAUCAUCUGAAACUAGUACUUCCUCAGGUCAGAAAUAUAAGACGCUCUGACGAGUGGGACUAGCACGCAGUUAGUUGAAACUUCUUGUCGGGAACAUCAUAUAUGUAUAUUCCUAGCCCAAGGGAUUAUACACAGUGUUUUAUCAUAUACGCAAGGUUUUAUCAUGUUGUGCCAUGCAUCAUCUUGUCAGUACGAUUAUCGGCGAAUUUAUAGGCAAUUAUUUUGUUGAUGAAUUAUUCUAUAACUGCCACAAAAAUGUUAUUAUAAUUUAAAAAAUGUAUCAGUGCCAUAUAUAGCUGUUGGUAGGGAAAUCGAAUGUAGCUGAUAAUUGUUUCAAAGACUAGCUAGAGUAAAAAUAACUUGUUGCUGAACCUAUGUGGGGGGAGGUUGAGCCGGCGAAAAUAAGUGCUUCGGUAUAUAGUACAAAGAGAAUGGGUGCACCUAUGUCUUGCCUUUGUCAAUGCAAGACUUGUGUGGUUGCGGUUUAAGCGCGAUGUUGUGGAUGACAAUCUUGAUCAAGACUCCCUGAGAGUUACGCAGAUGCAAUGUCACAGUCGUAAUGAAUCUCUUGUCCUCUGGAGCUGGAAUAGGAAAGUUUGUUGGCAAGAAGGAACACCCAAGGAAGACUUUGAUGCCUCCCGUCCCCAAAUAUGGCAAGUGAUCUUCACAAGACGUUCAUGCAACCCUAUCGAACCUCUUGUCAUGUGUAAGACCUAUGGACCACGGCUCCUGUCCAGUCAAGACCUUGGAUUUGACAAAUCAGAAGCAUUAAGCUGCUAGAUUGAUACCUAGCCUAUAUAUCCUACAGCUGCCAUUUUCUUGACAAAAUUUUUCUACAACUGUAGUGUGCUACAUUCCUUUGAUGUUAGAAAUUAUCAUGUACUUUAAUGUGAUGAGUGGUGCACUUGUUGUUAGAUCAUCGAUCUGUUCUUCUGCUCCAAGACGGCAUCGAUAUUCACCGCAAACUAGUCAUAUAUCCUACACGAUUGCGUUGGUAACUUUGUAUAUUGCAGACACGCACACGCACACGAAGGUUGUUAGUUAGCUAAAAAAGUUGGUAAAUGAACUGAAGUCCACUACUCUAAAUUACUUUUACAUGACACGGUCACAGGUGACCAGCAAUCAUGCCCGCUGUCAAAGAUGUGUCACAAAUAACUUAUAGAAGGUGACGGGCAAACACCCAUCACCAAUGAUGGAUUAGAGUUGACAGGCAACACUUAACACCGGUCACCAUUCACUAGUGAUCUUUGAAUUUAAACUUUAGCUAGCCUUAGCUUGGACAUGUUCCAUCCUGGUUGAGUUGUUAUUAAUGAUAUAGUAACAUAAGGAUCUUCAUUUGCAGGAAUUUAAUUAGCCCAGCUCAUGAUCGUUGUCACAGGUGGUAAGCUGUGGGAGAAAGGAAAACAAGCCUUGCUCGAAAAGUAAACGCAGCAAACAUUUGGGUGAUUCGGACAGGCUCUCAGCAGGAUAGUCUCGAUUCCUUAAGGCAAAACUUGACUCAAUCUUAGAUGUCGUGAGCAAAUUGUUGACACAUUCUUGUAUUCCAUUAUGUCGAGUACGUUCCAGGUUGAGCUGAUGACUUACGAGUCGUAUGUAGGGGUGAUAAAAGGGCCCUCUAAUUUAGCCUAGAAAACUUAAGGAUCGGGCUCAAUAAAGGCCGGGUCAUAAUAUUAUAUGAUUUUGAACUAAAAAUAGAUAGGGCUGAGUUGGAUUGUGAAGGAGGCAUGAGGGUCAUGAUCCAUUACCACCUCUAGUCAUAUGUACAAGAGAUUGGUUUAUGGUUAUCAAGCAGGUAUUAAGUACUCCCGCCGUCCCAGAAAAAAUAAGUCGUUUUAGGAUUGUCCUAAGUCAAAUUUUUCUGAGUUUUGCCAAGAUAAUAGAAAAAACUACAAAUAUUUAUGGUAUGAAAUAAGUACCAUUAGAUUUAUCUUGAGAUAUAUUUUUAUAAUGUACGUAUUUAAUGCCGUAAACAUUGAUAUUUUUCUCUAUAAAUUUGAUCAAAGUUGGAAAGUUUGACUUAAGACAAACCGAGAAUGACUUGUAUUUUUGGGACAGAGGGAAUAUGCUCUAUUAAAUACAUAUAGAUUCAUACAUUUCAAUUGCAUACAAUAAACUUCAUUACUAGCGGAACCUACUAACCACAGCCACAGGAGCAACUGUCUCCGGAAUCGCCAACAGUGCCGCAUGAUCAGCCACUGCAAUCCCCAUGUGACAUAUACGAUUGCUAGACAAUGCCAUGCGCGGAAUAUGCACACGCCUGGUGCGUUUGAUUCGAUUCUCAGGUCAAGAUUUCUUACAAUUUCACCUACCACAUCGAUGUGAUUUUGGUAAGGGAUAUUUUUCGUUUUAAAUUCACCUGUGGAGGACCCCUUAGUAUCAGCUCAUAACAGCAACCAGUACCAAGUGGCCUGGACCGUCUAUCCACCACAAAUAUACCAGCUUAAUAAGCUAGACCUAUUACUAAUGCUAAUAUUCGUAUCGAGUCUUAUUUUAGCUGGUAUAUUUGUUGGGGAUUUAUAGUGGUUUCUAUAGUAGUGAGUCCUCACCGGUGAGUAUAUAUAUUCCCUCUCUUUCUUCCUCUCUGUUGCUUCGCUCAAGGUACAUCCUGUAGUAGUUCCUCUCUGUUGCCUCUAACUGGUAAAUCUAAACAGAGACCCAGUGUAAACGAAUUUUAGCACCUGUUAAAAUCAGAUUAGUACACAUUUUUUACUCUACAUACAUACAUAUAUAUAAAUAUAUGUAUACAAAUAAAUAUAUAUUGAC